This 468-nucleotide ribosomal RNA is filed under the name uncultured bacterium. RNAcentral describes it as "partial 16S ribosomal RNA". It matches the Rfam family "Bacterial small subunit ribosomal RNA", at positions 28 to 507 of the family's 1533-position model. The record is from RNAcentral.
GACGAACGCUGGCGGCGUGCUUAACACAUGCAAGUCGAACGGAAAGGCCCUGCUUUUGUGGGGUGCUCGAGUGGCGAACGGGUGAGUAACACGUGAGUAACCUGCCCUUGACUUUGGGAUAACUUCAGGAAACUGGGGCUAACACCGGAUAGGAGCUCCUGCUGCAUGGUGGGGGUUGGAAAGUUUCGGCGGUUGGGGAUGGACUCGCGGCUUAUCAGCUUGUUGGUGGGGUAGUGGCUUACCAAGGCUUUGACGGGUAGCCGGCCUGGGAGGGUGACCGGCCACAUUGGGACUGAGAUACGGCCCAGACUCCUACGGGAGGCAGCGGUGGGGAAUAUUGCACAGUGGGCGGAAGCCUGAUGCAGCAACGCCGCGUGCGGGAUGACGGCCUUCGGGUUGUAAACCGCUUUCGCCUGUGACGAAGCGUGAGUGACGGUAAUGGGUAAAGAAGCACCGGCUAACUACGUG